This 447-nucleotide ribosomal RNA is filed under the name uncultured bacterium. Its description in RNAcentral is "bacterial SSU rRNA". It matches the Rfam family "Bacterial small subunit ribosomal RNA", at positions 355 to 825 of the family's 1533-position model. The record is from RNAcentral.
UGGGGAAUAUUGGACAAUGGGCGAAAGCCUGAUCCAGCCAUGCCGCGUGAGUGACGAAGGCCUUAGGGUUGUAAAACUCUUUCGUCGGGGACGAUAAUGACGGUACCCGAAGAAGAAGCUCCGGCUAACUUCGUGCCAGCAGCCGCGGUAAUACGAAGGGAGCUAGCGUUGUUCGGAAUCACUGGGCGUAAAGCGCACGUAGGCGGAUAGUUAAGUCAGGGGUGAAAUCCUGGGGCUCAACCCCAGAACUGCCUUCAAAACUGGCGACCUGGACCUAAGUAGAGGCAAGUGGAAUUGCGAGUGUAGAGGUGAAAUUCGUAGAUAUUCGCAGGAACACCAGUGGCGAAGGCGACUUGCUGGACUUAUGGUGACGCUGAGACGCGAAAGCGUGGGGAGCAAACAGGAUUAGAUACCCAAGUAGUCCCUGAGCGGGCUGGCAAGGCGCAU